GGGCAUUCAAACAGUCGGUUCAGUUAUUAACCAAAUUGAAUUAGCAUUGAUCGAACUGUAUAAUCCUUUAACCAUUAACCAAAUCAAUUUUUUUUUCAAAAAAAAUUAACCGAACUGAAAUAUUUCGGUUAACUGAAAUUUAUAUGUUCUUGUCUUUUGGUUAAAACAAGUGUAAAACAUAUAAAAAAAUACAUUGAAAUUAACCGAAAUAUAUGUCUUUUUUUUCAAAGUUAACCAAAUUAACCGAAAUUUUAUGUCUUGAAACACUACAUAAUUAAAAACACUACAUAAGUCUUGAAAUUAACACAUAAUAUUAGUUGUUAAGUUUAGUUAAUUCAAUU
This 341-nucleotide long non-coding RNA is filed under the name Gossypium barbadense (sea-island cotton). RNAcentral describes it as "long non-coding RNA (GBAR_LNC022242)". Lineage: Eukaryota; Viridiplantae; Streptophyta; Magnoliopsida; Malvales; Malvaceae. The record is from RNAcentral.